GUCUUUAAGUCCUGUAAGUUGCGAGGUGGGGCCUCCAUGGAUCGGACCUGUUUGUCCAGGACAUCCCACAUAUGCUCGAUUGGAUUGAGAUCUGAGGAAUUUGGAGGCCAAGUCAACACCUUUAACUCCUUGUUUGGUUCCUCAAACCAUUCCUGAACCAUUUUUGCUUUGUAGCAGGGCACAUUGUUAGAAAAUUAUUUAGCUUCAAAUGACCAUUCUGUAAUAAUAAAUCUGAUUGCCUUGACAAAUCAAGCAAGCCUCCUCUACCUCCAGCCAACAUGCUACUUUUAAUCAACCGCAUUCAUUCAGGUAUACCUUAGACAAUGACAUACUGAGCCCUGAACAGAGAUUAUCCUAUGAGGAGAACGGCUUCAUCGUUGUCAAGGGCCUGGUGUCUGAGGAGGACAUCAACAGAUUUAGUCUCGCAACUAGUGAUUUCUGGAUGCCCAACAACCUGCCUCCUACACCCCAUCACCUACUUUCUUCUCCAUACACUCUCUGAAGGCCUCCCAUUCUUCACUUCAACUCACUGACCACUGGCUGCGUUCCCUCGAAAAUCCAGAAAGCAACACUUGACCAUCUGAUGUCAAAAACAACAGACAGCUAUUCAGAUUCUCCUCCGUCUCUGGACUGUGGGCUUCUCAGGCUCUGCACACACUUAGAUUGCUCACUACCUGGGAGGCCGCCCCCGUUCCAGGUGUUCACGAGAGGAUCUGCUCUGCGGGCUGUCACUACUGUGUCCCUAGACUUCGGUUCUAUGCACUUACAACUACUGGCUCUAUUUAUCCCAGCUUGCUAUCUUAAAAUGAAUGCACGCC
Molecule: long non-coding RNA, 818 nt
Organism: Esox lucius (northern pike)
Lineage: Eukaryota; Metazoa; Chordata; Actinopteri; Esociformes; Esocidae
Source: Ensembl